RNAcentral lists this ribosomal RNA (503 nucleotides) under uncultured bacterium. RNAcentral's name for it is "bacterial SSU rRNA". It matches the Rfam family "Bacterial small subunit ribosomal RNA", at positions 30 to 526 of the family's 1533-position model. The record is from RNAcentral.
AUUGAACGCUGGCGGCAUGCUUUACACAUGCAAGUCGAACGGCAGCACGGGCUUCGGCCUGGUGGCGAGUGGCGAACGGGUGAGUAAUGCGUCGGAACGUGCCGAGUAAUGGGGGAUAACGCAUCGAAAGGUGUGCUAAUACCGCAUACGCUCUGAGGAGGAAAGCGGGGGACCUUCGGGCCUCGCGUUAUUCGAGCGGCCGACGUCUGAUUAGCUAGUUGGUGAGGUAAUGGCUCACCAAGGCGACGAUCCCUAGCUGUUCUGAGAGGAUGAUCAGCCACACUGGGACUGAGACACGGCCCAGACUCCUACGGGAGGCAGCAGUGGGGAAUAUUGCACAAUGGGGGAAACCCUGAUGCAGCCAUGCCGCGUGUGUGAAGAAGGCCUUCGGGUUGUAAAGCACUUUCAGUAGGGAGGAAAGGGUGAGUCUUAAUACGGCUCAUCUGUGACGUUACUUACAGAAGAAGGACCGGCUAACUCCGUGCCAGCCGCCGCCGUAACAC